CUCUGUACCUUUUGGAGUGUUCUGUGAGUCCCGCUCCUUGGGACAGUGUGCUGCCAUGUCUUGCCACUACAAAGACAGUGGAGAAUUGAUGGUGCAACUGAACUGCCCUGUUUUGAAUGCAGAACUGACUUUCAUUUAAAAAUCUAAGGGGGAAAAAAUAAUAUUCUCUCUUCCAGUACUUGUUGAUAGAUGGCUCUGAGAUGCAAAAGUAAUGAAGAAAUAAGCUUUCACAUGCAGCUGCAUCUCAGGUCAAGGCUGAAGCUGAGUGCCCAGCAAUAGGCUCCAGGGGUUUACUGGAAGCAAAACAGCCAUGGUCUGAGCACGGAGGGAUGAGCGUCGUCUGCAUGUUCAUCGUUGGUGAAUGAUACGAGCUCCUAGAAUGCAAAGUAUUUGCUAAUCUUCAUAGGGAAAUUGAAUGCCAUGCUGCACCUUUCUGGGUUCAGUGGCUAAAGAGAUCAGAAUUCAUUUUACCACACUAUGAAACAGCCUAUGCAAGUAAGGAUAAAGGAAAAGGUCAGCUGGCUUCACUGUAGAUGAAAAGCACUGCAUAGCAAGUCCCUAGCUAUUGUUCUUGUUGCUUCUGUGACCACAAUAGUUAUUUAUCAUUCUUCACAGUUGAAAUGCUGCUUUCUCCAUUAACUUCUAUCACUUCAGCUGUCACAUUUGAAUUCAUUCAUUCCUUGAAAAAAAAAUGUUUAUUCUCUUUUCUUUUGAAGUGGGAAUGCAGUGAUUAGCCAUAUAGUCAGGAGAUGUUGAUCUUACCAGAAAUCCUAUACUUUGUCAUGAAUGGGAGUUAUGCAUCCUCAAACUGUAUUAGUUACCCUCCUUAGACAGGUACUGUGCACAAUCAGUAUUUAGCUGCCUAAUCUGUAAUCAGAGGAAAGGCUAAUUUCACUCUCUAAAGUCUAAAGUAACUAUAGCUGCAGGAUUACAGCAAUGAAAGAUUAGAGGAAGACCUCUUAUCUUGAGUUUCAUCUGCUCUGAUGAUGCUCUGGGGUGGCACUCCUCAAAGCAUGCCAACUAGCAAUUGGUUCUAGCUUUUGGAAAGUAGACCAGCAUGAUGGAUCUGAUUCAUUCCUAUUUUGCCACUGAAUGCCAUCAUUACUGAAGAUGGGAUUGUUCCUUGAGCUCUCAAAGGAUGCAGUGUUACUUCAUUUUUAUUUCCCACUAUCAAUAUGCUUAACUUUGUGGUGGUUGUUAUUCUUGUGCUGAAGAAAAGCCACUUGGAUGUUUGACUAAGAAAUCAUCUUAACAAAAUGUAAAUUAUUCCAGAGGGUCCAUCUACAUAAGUACACAUUAAUCUACUUCUUAAAUAUGUAGCGGAGUCUUUCCCCUGAGGAGACCAUGGAGCUGUGAAAAUAUGUAAUGAUAAUUAAUUACUGCCCAAGAAUAGAUUAAUAUUGCAUGGUAGGAAUAAUAAAAUGUAUAUAACUAAGUGGUGUCUGUAGGAUAAUGCAAACUGUGAAGAGGUAUCAGGCUGUGGCAGUGUUAGAUUUAAUAUCCCAUCAAAAGGAAAGUGCUGUUUUCUGUCUGAAUGCAUUUGUUGCGUAGCAUGGCCAUUUAUUGUCAUAGUUCAUAGUCUGACAAAUAAAAACAUUUUAUUUCAAUUGCCCAAGAGAGCUGGCUUUGCUGUUGCUGCAGAAAAAGCCAUUUCUUCUUUAAGGAGUUGCUGUUGGGCUUAUUACCGAUGUCUGUGCUGUGGCUUUAAAUAUCAUUGCCCUGACUGUGCUCGUGUAUAAACAGAGGAUGAGAAUGUGUUCCUGAAUGUAUCUGCCAAGCACCGUAUUUUGCUUUUUUUUCCUUUAAGGCUUCUGUCCCAGUCUUACAACAUCUCACCCAUCCUCUGUUAUUUGUCUUAAAGUUGAUGCAGUGCAGGUCUUUAAGUGGUGCAUAGCUGGAAGAGUAGUUUAGUAGUUUAAGAGUAGUUUAAUUCAAUUAUGAAACCCCAUUAACAAUUUUGAACUAUCUUGUCUUGUAAGUUAAAUUCAGGAGGUUUGGCUAAAAUUGUAUCCUUCAGUAACUGAUUUUGUACUUGUAUUUUAAAUGAAGAUACUAACACAGGACUUAAGCUGAAGGUACUUAACAUGAGAAUGCAACGUGGAAAUACUCUUGUAGGUUGCUGGAUCUGAUUUUUGCAGUUGCAGACAUGCACAUU
Gallus gallus (chicken) is the source of this 2155-nucleotide long non-coding RNA. Lineage: Eukaryota; Metazoa; Chordata; Aves; Galliformes; Phasianidae. The record is from Ensembl.